RNAcentral lists this transfer RNA (90 nucleotides) under Deltaproteobacteria bacterium. RNAcentral's name for it is "tRNA-Ser". It matches the Rfam family "tRNA". From Rfam's summary of the family: Transfer RNA (tRNA) molecules are approximately 80 nucleotides in length. Lineage: Bacteria; Pseudomonadati; Myxococcota; Myxococcia. The record is from RNAcentral.
GGAGAGAUGACCGAGUGGACGAAGGUGCAGCACUGGAAAUGCUGUGUGCGCGCAAGCGCACCGGGGGUUCGAAUCCCCCUCUCUCCGCCU